This 73-nucleotide transfer RNA is filed under the name Mus musculus (house mouse). It matches the Rfam family "tRNA". Rfam says of the family: Transfer RNA (tRNA) molecules are approximately 80 nucleotides in length. The record is from Rfam by way of RNAcentral. Lineage: Eukaryota; Metazoa; Chordata; Mammalia; Rodentia; Muridae.
GCCCAGCUAGCUCAGUCGGUAGAGGAUGAGACUCUUAAUCUCAGGGUCAUGGGUUGGAGCCCCACGUUGGGAG